This 524-nucleotide ribosomal RNA is filed under the name uncultured bacterium. RNAcentral's name for it is "bacterial SSU rRNA". It matches the Rfam family "Bacterial small subunit ribosomal RNA", at positions 28 to 526 of the family's 1533-position model. The record is from RNAcentral.
GAUGAACGCUAGCUACAGGCUUAACACAUGCAAGUCGAACGGAGUUUUUAGAGGAAGCCUUUCGGGGUGGAACCUUUGAACUUAGUGGCGGACGGGUGAGUAACGCGUGAGCAAUCUGCCUUCAAGAGGGGGACAACAGCUGGAAACGGCUGCUAAUACCGCAUAACAUAUAUUUGUGGCAUCACAGAUAUAUCAAAGGAGAAAUCCGCUUGAAGAUGAGCUCGCGUCCCAUUAGCUAGUUGGCGGGGUAGAGGCCCACCAAGGCGACGAUGGGUAGCCGGACUGAGAGGAUGAUCAGUCACACUGGAACUGAGACACGGUCCAGACUCCUACGGGAGGCAGCAGUGGGGAAUAUUGGACAAUGGGCGAAAGCCUGAUCCAGCCAUGCCGCGUGUGUGAAGAAGGUCUUCGGAUUGUAAAGCACUUUAAGUUGGGAGGAAGGGUUGUAGAUUAAUACUCUGCAAUUUUGACGUUACCGACAGAAUAAGCACCGGCUAACUCUGUGCCAGCAGCCGCAGUAAAAC